This 418-nucleotide ribosomal RNA is filed under the name uncultured bacterium. RNAcentral's name for it is "bacterial SSU rRNA". It matches the Rfam family "Bacterial small subunit ribosomal RNA", at positions 355 to 771 of the family's 1533-position model. The record is from RNAcentral.
UAAGGAAUAUUGGUCAAUGGACGCAAGUCUGAACCAGCCAUGCCGCGUGAAGGAUGAAGGUCCUCUGGAUGGUAAACUUCUUUUAUCUGGGACGAAAACGGGAUUUUUAUCUCAAUUGACGGUACCAGAGGAAUAAGCACCGGCAAACUCCAUGCCAGCAGCCGCGGUAAUACGGAUGGUUAGAGCGUGAUCCGGACUUACUAGGUUUAAAGGGUGCGUAGGCGGGCUUGUAAGUCAGUGGUGAAAUCUCUCAGCUUAACUGAGAAACUGCCAUUGAUACUGCAGUCCUAGAGUAUAGAGUACGUUGGAGGAAUAUGACAUGUAGUGGUGAAAUACUUAGCUAUGUCAUAGAACACCGAUUGCCAAGGCAGCUAACGAAACUAUAACUGACGCUGAGGCACGAAGGCGUGGGGAUCAA